GAAUCGGACAGUCGGUACCUAGACCCCGCCACGUGGUACAGAGCAAUAGCGCGAGUGGAUUGUCGCUGAAAGGAAAAGAAAACCCGUCGAUAGAUCUAUCACGAUUCCUUCUUUACCAUGGGAGGAAAUUAAUAGAACGAUGCGAAUGGAGAAAUCGAGAAAUAGACUUUUUACCUUCUACCAGGAUUGGAUUCUUAAUCUUGCGAUUAUUAUGGAUUUUACGCUUCUUGCUGGUGAAUUACUGAACCGAGAAGUCGAGUUUUUGUUUAUGAAUCUCGACCAACAUUGAAACGAAACCGCUGAAACCGGUCGGGGAGAAACUGGAUGGAGUCAUCGAGGAAGAGAGGAUCGUCGCGAUCGGGUGGACACCCCCGACGGCGCGACGUUGUCUAAAAGUUGGUCGC
This is a long non-coding RNA of Apis cerana (Asiatic honeybee), 404 nucleotides long. RefSeq lists it as uncharacterized. NCBI's taxonomy places the organism in Eukaryota, Metazoa, Arthropoda, Insecta, Hymenoptera, Apidae. The record is from RefSeq and is a predicted model, not a curated record.